AUUGAACGCUGGCGGCAGGCUUAACACAUGCAAGUCGAGCGGAGACUUCGGUCUUAGCGGCGAACGGGUGAGGAAUGCCUGGGAAUCUGCCUGUUAGUGGGGGAUAACGUUCCGAAAGGAACGCUAAUACCGCAUACGUCCUACGGGAGAAAGCAGGGGACCUUCGGGCCUUGCGCUAACAGAUGAGCCCAGGUCGGAUUAGCUAGUUGGUGGGGUAAAGGCUCACCAAGGCGACGAUCCGUAGCUGGUCUGAGAGGAUGAUCAGCCACACUGGAACUGAGACACGGUCCAGACUCCUACGGGAGGCAGCAGUGGGGAAUAUUGGACAAUGGGCGAAAGCCUGAUCCAGCCAUGCCGCGUGUGUGAAGAAGGCCUCGGUUGUAAGCACUUAAG
RNAcentral lists this ribosomal RNA (393 nucleotides) under uncultured bacterium. RNAcentral describes it as "bacterial SSU rRNA". It matches the Rfam family "Bacterial small subunit ribosomal RNA", at positions 30 to 438 of the family's 1533-position model. The record is from RNAcentral.